Molecule: long non-coding RNA, 1038 nt
Filed under: Anas platyrhynchos platyrhynchos (common mallard)
Lineage: Eukaryota; Metazoa; Chordata; Aves; Anseriformes; Anatidae
Description: lncRNA (ENSAPLG00000030748.1)
Source: RNAcentral
GAUGCUUCCCUUCCAGGGAAGAAUGAGCAAGAAAUCAUUGGAGUUCUGGACAAAAGUGAUGGAAACAGGUAUUCGUGGACAGACUCUAAUGUGUCAAGAAACAGGACAUCUGAGACUCAAAGAGAUUCAUUCCCUGGUCUUGAAGACACAGUUUACGACGACAUUGAAGAGACGGGACCCUGAUCAAGAUCGCUGAGCAGUACUGAAUACUUUUGGACGUACUCCCCUGUUCAUAAAAUGCUAAUCAUGUACUAUCAGAACCAGAACAACCUGCAUUUAAAAUUAGUUUUCAUAAGUUUUGUUUAUUUGCAGAAAAGUGAUUACAUAUUUAGAAGAAAUACAAGCAUUAUCUUGGUUAGACAGUUUUUCAAGCUUCUCCUAACUACCUGGGCACUUUUUUUUUAUUAUUAUUUCUAAAUAGUUUCAUUGCUUCUUUUUCCUUUUUUUUUUUUUUUUUUUAAACUGAGGUAAUUUUUCAACCAUGAUAUUUUCUUAUUAAAACUGUUUAAAGAUCUUUUCUCAAAUGUAUGUUACUCCUCGCGGAUACACUUCAGUGUAUUAGGAAUUUUGAUUAUUAGGAAUUGAGACUGAACUGCAAGAAGAUCAUCAAAGCUGUGUUUAAUCUUUUGGAUAUUCUUAUUUGUCACAUAGAAUGUGAGAGCCAGAAUUAAUGCUAGGUAGCACUUUGUGAGAUAACAAAUUAAACGAGAGGUUAUUCUUGUCCUCACUUUAAAUGCAGGGCUGUCAUUUGAACUACAUGCAAGUGAAUUACAAUUUGGACUGGGUGGAAAAACUCCUCUUUUCUCCCUCUACACCAUGAUGAAUUAUUGUCUCCCAAAAUCGUAUCAAUUAUACAGUAAUAGAAAGUAUAAUUUCUUUCAACAUAUGACAAAUAGUGGUCAUAUCUAUAGGUUUCCAUCGUGUCAUUUAUUUUCAUCAUGUGAAGGCAGACUGCAAAAGUCCACAAGUUGAUGGAGUAGAAGUACUGUUGUCUUGGCUCCUAAUAAAAUUUCUUUCAGGUUUUGAAAGAAAAAGCUU